GUAAGAUAUCAAGGGCAGUUGGUGGAUGCCUAGGUGUCAGGAGGCGAGGAAGGACGUGGAAGGCUGCGAUAAGCCUCGGUGAGCCGUCAAACAGGCUUUGACCCGGGGAUUUCCGAAUGGGGGAACCCGUAUGGAGUAACGUCCAUACACUUCAGACUGAAUCCAUAGGUCUGUAAGAGCCAACCCGGGGAAGUGAAACAUCUCAGUACCCGGAGGAAAGGAAAUCAAGAGAGAUUCCCUAAGUAGCGGCGAGCGAACAGGGAGUAGCCCAAACCAUGUGGUUUCGAGCACAUGGGGUUGUAGGGCUCCGAUACGUGAUCCAGUGAUUAGAUAGCCGAACAGUCUGGAAAGGCUGACCAUAGGUGGUGACAGUCCAGUAGGCGAAAUCGAAAACGGCACACGGAGUACCUGAGUAGGACGGGACACGAGAAAUCCCGUUUGAAUCUGGGAGGACCAUCUUCCAAGGCUAAAUACUACCUGACGACCGAUAGCGAACCAGUACCGUGAGGGAAAGGUGAAAAGAACCCCUGAUAGUAGUGCGGAUUAGACCCGAAGCCGGGUGAUCUAUCCAUGAGCAGGCUGAAGCUUGAGUAAAAUCAAGUGGAGGGCCGAACCAUUGUAAGUUGAAAAUUACUUGGAUGACUUGUGGAUAGGGGUGAAAGGCCAAUCAAACCCGGUGAUAGCUGGUUCUCCCCGAAAUAUAUUGAGGUAUAGCCUCAGGCGUUUAUUAACGGAGGUAGAGCACUGACAGGGCUAGGGGUCCUACCAGAUUACCAACCCCUAUCAAACUCCGAAUACCGUUAAUUGAGAGCCUGGGAGUCAGACUACGGGUGAUAAGGUCCGUGGUCGAAAGGGAAACAGCCCAGACCAUCGGCUAAGGUCCCUAAAUCAUACUAAGUGGGAAAGGAAGUGGAACCGUUAAGACAGCCAGGAGGUUGGCUUAGAAGCAGCCAUCCUUGAAAGAAAGCGUAAUAGCUCACUGGUCUAGUAGUUCUGCGCCGAAAAUGUAACGGGGCUAAGUAUGAUACCGAAGCCAUGGCUCGACACCUUGUGUGUCGGGGGUAGGGGAGCGUCCUCUUUCAGGAUGAAGAUAAAUCGUAAGGUUUGUUGGACAAAAGAGGAGUGAUAAUGCUGGCAUGAGUAACGAUAAAACGGGUGAGAAACCCGUUCGCCGUAAACCCAAGGUUUCCAGGGUAAAGUUAAUCUUCCCUGGGUUAGUCGGCCCCUAAGGCAAGGCUGAAAAGCGUAGCUGAUGGGAAACAGGUUAAUAUUCCUGUACUUGGUAUGCAUCGUUUGAGCGAAGGAGGGACGCAGGAGGGUAGGUCAUCCAUCUGUUGGAAGAGAUGGUUCAAGGUUGUAGGGAUGAUUCACAGGCAAAUCCAUGAAUCUCUAUCCUGAGAACCGAUGACGAGGCGCAAGCCGGAAGUGAUUGAGCCCAUGCUGCCGAGAAAAGCUUCUAAGCGAGAUGUAUAUUCAACCGUACCGCAAACCAACACAGGUGGGUGGGAUGAGUAAUCCAAGGCGCUUGAGAGAACUCUGGUUAAGGAAUUCGGCAAAAUGACCCCGUAACUUCGGGAUAAGGGGUGCCACUUUUGGUGAACUUAUUCACUUUGUGAGCUGAGAGUGGUCGCAGAGAAAUGGCGGUGGCGACUGUUUACUAAAAACAUAGGGCUAUGCGAAGUCGUAAGACGCAGUAUAUGGCCUGACGCCUGCCCGGUGCCGGAAGGUUAAGAGGAGGUGUUAUCCCUUUGGGAGAAGCUCUGAAUUGAAGCCCCGGUAAACGGCGGCCGUAACUAUAACGGUCCUAAGGUAGCGAAAUUCCUUGUCGGGUAAGUUCCGACCUGCACGAA
RNAcentral lists this ribosomal RNA (1850 nucleotides) under oral metagenome. Its description in RNAcentral is "bacterial LSU rRNA". It matches the Rfam family "Bacterial large subunit ribosomal RNA", at positions 1 to 1996 of the family's 2925-position model. The record is from RNAcentral.